UUCGCCCUUAGAGUUUGAUCCUGGCUCAGAGCGAACGCUGGCGGCAGGCUUAACACAUGCAAGUCGAGCGCAUCCUUCGGGAUGAGUGGCAGACGGGUGAGUAACACGUGGGAACGUGCCCUCCGGUCUGGGAUAACCCCGGGAAACUAGGGCUAAUACCGGAUACGUGCUUUGGCAGAAAGGUUUACUGCCGGAGGAUCGGCCCGCGUCUGAUUAGCUAGUUGGUGGGGUAACGGCCUACCAAGGCGACGAUCAGUAGCUGGUCUGAGAGGAUGAUCAGCCACACUGGGACUGAGACACGGCCCAGACUCCUACGGGAGGCAGCAGAAGGG
This 332-nucleotide ribosomal RNA is filed under the name uncultured Methylobacterium sp. RNAcentral's name for it is "bacterial SSU rRNA". It matches the Rfam family "Bacterial small subunit ribosomal RNA", at positions 1 to 359 of the family's 1533-position model. The record is from RNAcentral. Lineage: Bacteria; Pseudomonadati; Pseudomonadota; Alphaproteobacteria; Hyphomicrobiales; Methylobacteriaceae.